AGAGUCGGUCGUGUGGUUACCUUGUCCGCCUAUUGGAGGAUGGGGAGGAAAGUCCGAACACCGCAGGACAGGAUGCCUCCUAACGGGAGGGGCUCCGGUACUUCUGUACCGGAGCACGGAAAGUGCAACAGAGAGCAGACUAUCCCGUUCUCGGGAUACAGGUGAAACGGUGGUGUAAAAGACCACCAGUCCCGGUGGUAACACUGGGAGCUAUGUAAACCCCAUCCGGUGCAAGACCAAGUAGGAGAGCACGAGGUGGUCCGCCUCAUUAUGACUCUUGGGUUGGUCGCGAGAUCCCGGCCGCGAGGCCGGGACCAGAUGAAUGACCACAGUCUCGAUUUUCGGGAUACAGAAUUCGGCUUAUAGAUCGGCUCUGAUA
RNAcentral lists this RNase P RNA (379 nucleotides) under Fidelibacterota bacterium. Its description in RNAcentral is "Candidatus Marinimicrobia bacterium RNase P RNA component class A". It matches the Rfam family "Bacterial RNase P class A". Rfam says of the family: Ribonuclease P (RNase P) is a ubiquitous endoribonuclease, found in archaea, bacteria and eukarya as well as chloroplasts and mitochondria. Its best characterised activity is the generation of mature 5'-ends of tRNAs by cleaving the 5'-leader elements of precursor-tRNAs. The record is from RNAcentral. Lineage: Bacteria; Pseudomonadati; Fidelibacterota.